This 1128-nucleotide ribosomal RNA is filed under the name Triticum aestivum (bread wheat). Its description in RNAcentral is "partial small subunit ribosomal RNA". The record is from RNAcentral. Lineage: Eukaryota; Viridiplantae; Streptophyta; Magnoliopsida; Poales; Poaceae.
AUGUACACGGCUGGGGCCAGGCAGCCCGCCGGCGUCCGGACGCGGAGACCAAUUCAGUCCUGUAAAAUUGCGCAUUCUGGACGGCGGCGGACAAUUUUGCCUGGACCGAAUCGGGGGCUCGGCUCACUGGUAGCCGCCGAGGCCGGUGAGCAGCAGCUCGUGCGGCCGCAGCAGCGUCGGGGUGGCUGGCGCCGAGGCGCCCAGGUAGAAGAAGUCGAAGUCGGAGGCGUCGGGCACGCCGGCGGCGGUGGCCCAGAGAGCGCCGGCCAUCUCGUCGGGGAUGAGCAGGGCGCGGCAGAGCGGGCAGGUGCGCUGGUCGUGCUCCAUCCAGCGGUCCAGGCACCCCCGGUGGAAGGCGUGGCGGCAGUUGCUGAGCCGCCGCACCUCGUCGCCGCCGCCGAUGCCGCUGAGGCACACGGCGCAGUCCCCGUCGACGCACGCCGCGGCCUCCAGCUCGUCGAACCGCACCACGGGGAGCACCUCCUCGAUGACCAUGGCCGUCACGGGCCGGAACUCGGGCCGGCGGUGCUGCAGCAGCAGCGCGUGGUGCGCCGCGGCGGCGUGGUCGGCGCGCGCGUGCUCCUGCGCCAGGUGCUCGUCCCCGAGAUCCAGCAGGUCGCCGAGGCCGACGGCGUCGAAGGCCCAGAGGAGGAAGCGGCGGAGGUAGCCGAGCAGGAGGAGGAGGUGGAGCAGCUGCUUGGGGAGCAGCAGCUCGGAGUAGCCGACCGGGAAGCCCAUGCCUGUCGCUCGCCUUGCCAAGGAGAAGCGUCCGCGCCGCCUGCUGACCGCUGCGGUCUCGGCACGGCAGGGAGGAUGAGAGGCAAGUGUGAGGACGAUGGUGCGCUGGUGGUGGUGGUGGUGGCAGGCGUGGGGAGGCCGAGACGAGGCGAGGCCGGCUUAUAUAAAAGCGAAGGAGCGGCGCGGGGAAGGAUCCGGCUGGGUGGGGGUGGCAGCGUCCGGUUGGGGUUGGGGUUGGGUGGCGUGGUGUCACCGGUGUGUCGUGCGCGCGACUCUGACCCGAUGACCGACUCCCAAUCCCAGCCAGCCCCGCGAGUCGGUGUGACUGACUGGCCCGCCCGCCGCCGGGCCGGGUGUCACCGCGACCCCCCGCGCGCGUGGCCCGUCUGA